CGCUGGCGGCAGGCCUAACACAUGCAAGUCGAACGGUAACAGGAAGCAGCUUGCUGUUUGCUGACGAGUGGCGGACGGGUGAGUAAUGUCUGGGAAACUGCCUGAUGGAGGGGGAUAACUACUGGAAACGGUAGCUAAUACCGCAUAACGUCGCAAGACCAAAGAGGGGGACCUUCGGGCCUCUUGCCAUCGGAUGUGCCCAGAUGGGAUUAGCUGUGGUGGGGUAACGGCUCACCUAGGCGACGAUCCCUAGCUGGUCUGAGAGGAUGACCAGCCACACUGGAACUGAGACACGGUCCAGACUCCUACGGGAGGCAGCAGUGGGGAAUAUUGCACAAUGGGCGCAAGCCUGAUGCAGCCAUGCCGCGUGUAUGAAGAAGGCCUUCGGGUUGUAAAGUACUUUCAGCGGGGAGGAAGGGAGUAAAGUUAAUACCUUUGCUCAUUGACGUUACCCGCAGAAGAAGCACCGGCUAACUCCGUGCCAGCAGCCGCGGUAAUACGGAGGGUGCAAGCGUUAAUCGGAAUUACUGGGCGUAAAGCGCACGCAGGCGGUUUGUUAAGUCAGAUGUGAAAUCCCCGGGCUCAACCUGGGAACUGCAUCUGAUACUGGCAAGCUUGAGUCUCGUAGAGGGGGGUAGAAUUCCAGGUGUACGCGGUGAAAUGCGUAGAGAUCUGGAGGAAUACCCGGUGGCGAAGGCGGCCCCCUGGACGAAGA
This 715-nucleotide ribosomal RNA is filed under the name Shigella sp. RNAcentral describes it as "bacterial SSU rRNA". It matches the Rfam family "Bacterial small subunit ribosomal RNA", at positions 34 to 739 of the family's 1533-position model. The record is from RNAcentral. Lineage: Bacteria; Pseudomonadati; Pseudomonadota; Gammaproteobacteria; Enterobacterales; Enterobacteriaceae.